UAUGGCCGGUGCAGGAGUGCGCGCCGCCAACCUGCCGCUAUUUUUACAGGCGGGGGUAAAAGAGGUGCAUACCUCGGCAGGCCAGUGGUUACCGUCCCCGAUGCGCUUUCGCAAUCCCGGAUUGUCGAUGUCUACGGAUGCCGAAGCAGAUGAAUACUUACGCUACGCCGUCAAUGGCGAAGCGGUAGCGGAAAUGAAGAAGAUAAUUACCGCGUAGAGAGAGUAAACCGUUUUUUGCUGCACAUCAUGUCGCCCAAUAUGAUGAUUGCCCGUACCAGGCCCCUGCCCAUUAAACAGGGGCCUUUUUU
This 308-nucleotide non-coding RNA is filed under the name Klebsiella grimontii. Its description in RNAcentral is "MicL sRNA". It matches the Rfam family "MicL sRNA". From Rfam's summary of the family: mRNA-interfering complementary RNA regulator of Lpp. Transcription factor sigma E dependant sRNA. Lineage: Bacteria; Pseudomonadati; Pseudomonadota; Gammaproteobacteria; Enterobacterales; Enterobacteriaceae. The record is from RNAcentral.